This 253-nucleotide ribosomal RNA is filed under the name uncultured bacterium. Its description in RNAcentral is "partial 16S ribosomal RNA". It matches the Rfam family "Bacterial small subunit ribosomal RNA", at positions 524 to 776 of the family's 1533-position model. The record is from RNAcentral.
UACGGAGGGUGCGAGCGUUGUCCGGAAUCACUGGGCGUAAAGGGCGCGUAGGCGGCCCGGCAAGUCAACGGUGAAAGCUUGGGGCUCAACCCCGAGUCGGCCGUCGAUACUUCCGGGCUGGAGCACUGUAGAGGCAGGUGGAAUUCCGGGUGUAGCGGUGGAAUGCGUAGAGAUCCGGAAGAACACCGGUGGCGAAGGCGGCCUGCUGGGCAGUAGCUGACGCUGAGGCGCGACAGCGUGGGGAGCGAACAGG